This 321-nucleotide ribosomal RNA is filed under the name uncultured Kluyveromyces. RNAcentral describes it as "eukaryotic LSU rRNA". The stretch from base 1 to 73 matches the Rfam family "5.8S ribosomal RNA", at positions 83 to 154 of the family's 154-position model. The record is from RNAcentral. Lineage: Eukaryota; Fungi; Ascomycota; Saccharomycetes; Saccharomycetales; Saccharomycetaceae.
UGUGAAUCAUCGAAUCUUUAGAACGCACAUUGCGCCCUAUGGUAUUCCAUAGGGCAUGCCUGUUUGAGCGUCAUUUCUCUCUCAAAUCUUCGGAUUUGGUUUUGAGUGAUACUCUUAGUCAGACUAAGCGUUUGCUUGAAAUGUAUUGGCAUGAGUGGUACUAGAUAGUGCUGAACUGUUUCAAUGUAUUAGGUUUAUCCAACUCGUUGACCAGUAUAGUAUUCGUUUAUUACACAGGCUCGGCCUUACAACAACAAACAAAGUAAGCCUCAAGUCAGGUAGGGCAGCCGGUGAUCUAAGGUGAUCAAUAAGCAGAGGAUC